This is a long non-coding RNA of Girardinichthys multiradiatus, 1054 nucleotides long. RefSeq lists it as uncharacterized. NCBI's taxonomy places the organism in Eukaryota, Metazoa, Chordata, Actinopteri, Cyprinodontiformes, Goodeidae. The transcript has 2 exons. The record is from RefSeq and is a predicted model, not a curated record.
ACUACCCCUGCUUGAAACCCUCCAGUGCUUUACCUUGGAUUGUCUCACGCCUCUGCAUCUGCUUCGACCCGCCCAUGGGUAAUGUUGCUGUUCGCCCAGAAAAAUCUGGUAUUCUGCGGUGCCCGAAUAAAACCAGAGUUUGCACCCUGGAACCUCUUUUGGUCUAUCAACACAUACGCCCCCGGCUGAAAUCACGUUCAGGAACCAAAAUGGACUCUGAAAUGUGUAGGCUGAAAAGCGGUAUCAGUGGUGGCAGAUGGCUGUACACACUGAGCCAGAUUGACCCAGAGGUUCCUUUCAGUUCAAAGGGAGUUUUCCUUUCCACUAUCGCCACAUGCAUGCUCAGUAUGAGGGAUUGCUGGACAAUUCCCGAAUAGAUGUAAUCAAUCGGCCACUGUUGCCACAUGAUCAUUCAGGAGGAGCUAUUGCUGCAUAGUCCGUGAUUUGAUGCAAUAAGCUGAUUUUCCAUUAAUGGAAAUCUUUUUUUAUCAGUAAUCCUAAUAAACUGAAAUUGAGAGCUUGGAUAUAACUGAAAUGUAUGUAACUGACAGAAUUUAUCUGUAUGAAUGAAUAGAAUUUGCUAUAUUUUUCUGCACAAAAACUGGAUCUGUUUGUUGAGGUGUCAUUUGUUGCAAAUCAGCGUUGUAUUUUCUUAAUUUGUUGUCUGAAUAAAUAGACAACAAAAUUUGCUUCAGUAUGUUUUUGGGGAGCUACAAGUCUUCUUGUCUGAUGUAACUACUUACAUAGCUAAUAAUGACUAAUUAUUUUUCAUCGUGGCACCAUAGAUAGAGGUUUGAUGUUUGAUUUCUUCAUAUUGAUUUUUAUGCUGUGAAUGACAAUAAACAUAACAUCACAUUAGUUAAACACAUUUCACGUCCAUCAACCAGUAAUGUAUCAAUGUGUUUUUUUUCUAAUUGUAAUUUUGGGUUUCAUUUGCUUUUCUCUUGUGCUUUAAGUAACAAUUUUGGAGGUUUCACACAUGAAAGAUUACCUAAAUAUUGUUAUACAAUGAAAACUGCCUGUUAUAAAUUACAACAUGGUUUCCAUAACCACA